RNAcentral lists this ribosomal RNA (440 nucleotides) under uncultured bacterium. RNAcentral describes it as "bacterial SSU rRNA". It matches the Rfam family "Bacterial small subunit ribosomal RNA", at positions 339 to 796 of the family's 1533-position model. The record is from RNAcentral.
CUACGGGAGGCAGCAGUGGGGAAUCUUGGACAAUGGGCGAAAGCCUGAUCCAGCCAUGCCGCGUGAGUGAUGAAGGCCCUAGGGUUGUAAAGCUCUUUUGUGCGGGAAGAUAAUGACGGUACCGCAAGAAUAAGCCCCGGCUAACUUCGUGCCAGCAGCCGCGGUAAUACGAAGGGGGCUAGCGUUGCUCGGGAUCACUGGGCGUAAAGGGUGCGUAGGCGGAUCUUUAAGUCAGAGGUGAAAGCCUGGAGCUCAACUCCAGAACUGCCUUUGAUACUGAGGAUCUCGAGUUCGGGAGAGGUGAGUGGAACUGCGAGUGUAGAGGUGAAAUUCGUAGAUAUUCGCAAGACCACCAGUGGCGAAGGCGGCUCACUGGCCCGAUACUGACGCUGAGGCACGAAAGCGUGUGGAGCAAACAGGAUUAGAUACCCCUGUAGUCC